AUUGAACGCUGGCGGCAGGCUUAACACAUGCAAGUCGAACGGUAACGGGUUGAAAGCUUGCUUUCAAUGCUGACGAGUGGCGGACGGGUGAGUAAGGCUUGGGGAUCUGGCUUUUGGAGGGGGAUAACCAUUGGAAACGAUGGCUAAUACCGCAUAGUAUCGAGAGAUGAAAGGGGUGGGAAACCACUUGCCAAGGGAUGAACCCAAGUGAGAUUAGGUAGUUGGUGGGGUAAAGGCCUACCAAGCCGACGAUCUCUAGCUGGUCUGAGAGGAUGGCCAGCCACACUGGGACUGAGACACGGCCCAGACUCCUACGGGAGGCAGCAGUGGGGAAUAUUGCGCAAUGGGGGGAACCCUGACGCAGCCAUGCCGCGUGAAUGAAGAAGGCCUUCGGGUUGUAAAGUUCUUUCGGUGGUGAGGAAGGUGGUAGUGUUAAUAGCGCUAUUGUUUGACGUUAGCCACAGAAGAAGCACCGGCUAACUCCGUGCCAGCAGCCGCGGUAAUACGGAGGGUGCGAGCGUUAAUCGGAAUAACUGGGCGUAAAGGGCACGCAGGCGGGACGUUAAGUGAGAUGUGAAAGCCCCGGGCUUAACCUGGGAACAGCAUUUCAUACUGGCGUACUAGAGUACUUUAGGGAGGGGUAGAAUUCCACGUGUAGCGGUGAAAUGCGUAGAGAUGUGGAGGAAUACCGAAGGCGAAGGCAGCCCCUUGGGAAGAUACUGACGCUCAUGUGCGAAAGCGUGGGGAGCAAACAGG
RNAcentral lists this ribosomal RNA (756 nucleotides) under uncultured bacterium. Its description in RNAcentral is "bacterial SSU rRNA". It matches the Rfam family "Bacterial small subunit ribosomal RNA", at positions 28 to 776 of the family's 1533-position model. The record is from RNAcentral.